RNAcentral lists this transfer RNA (72 nucleotides) under Plasmodiophora brassicae. It matches the Rfam family "tRNA". Rfam says of the family: Transfer RNA (tRNA) molecules are approximately 80 nucleotides in length. Their secondary structure includes four short double-helical elements and three loops (D, anti-codon, and T loops). The record is from Rfam by way of RNAcentral. Lineage: Eukaryota; Endomyxa; Phytomyxea; Plasmodiophorida; Plasmodiophoridae.
GCGCCGCUAACUCAGUGGCAGAGUUUCGGUCUUAUGAGCCGACGGUCGAGGGUUCGAACCCCUCGCGGCGCG